RNAcentral lists this ribosomal RNA (468 nucleotides) under uncultured bacterium. RNAcentral describes it as "partial 16S ribosomal RNA". It matches the Rfam family "Bacterial small subunit ribosomal RNA", at positions 28 to 507 of the family's 1533-position model. The record is from RNAcentral.
GACGAACGCUGGCGGCGUGCUUAACACAUGCAAGUCGAACGGAAAGGCCCUGCUUUUGUGCGGUGCUCGAGUGGCGAACGGGUGAGUAACACGUGAGUAACCUGCCCCUGACUUUGGGAUAACUUCAGGCAACUGGGGCUCAUACCGGAUAGGAGCUCCUGCUGCAUGGUGGGGGUUGGACAGUUUCGGCGGUUGGGGAUGGACUCGCGGCUUAUCAGCUUGUUGGUGGGGUAGUGGCUUACCAAGGCUUUGACGGGUAGCCGGCCUGAGAGGGUGACCGGCCACAUUGGGACUGAGAUACGGCCCAGACUCCUACGGUAGGCAGGAGUGGGGAGGAGUGCACAAUGGGCGGAAGCCAGAUGCAGCAACGCCGCGUGCGGGAUGACGGCCUGCGGGUUGGAAACCGCUUUCGCCUGUGACGAAGCGUGAGUGACGGUAAUGGGUAAAGAAGCACCGGCUAACUACGUG